This 708-nucleotide ribosomal RNA is filed under the name uncultured bacterium. RNAcentral's name for it is "bacterial SSU rRNA". It matches the Rfam family "Bacterial small subunit ribosomal RNA", at positions 125 to 851 of the family's 1533-position model. The record is from RNAcentral.
CCUGCCCCCCGCCCAGGGACAGCCCCCCGAAAGGGGGAUUAAUACCUGGUACUCCGGAAGCGGCGCAUGCCGCAUCCGGGAAAGCUCUCGCGGCGGGGGAUGGGGUCGCGGCCCAUCAGGUAGACGGCGGGGCAGAGACCCACCGUGCCGACGACGGGUAGCCGGGUUGAGAGACCGACCGGUCACAUUGGGACUGAGAUACGGCCCAGACUCCUACGGGAGGCAGCAGUGGGGAAUUUUGCGCAAUGGGGGCAACCCUGACGCAGCAACGCCGCGUGCGGGACGAAGGCGUCCGCGUCGUAAACCGCUUUCAGCGGGGAACACCUAAACGAGGGUACCCGCAGAAGAAGCCCCGGCUAAAUACGUGCCAGCAGCCGCGGUAAUACGUAUGGGGCGAGCGUUAUCCGGAUUCAUUGGGCGUAAAGCGCGCGUAGGCGGAGCGCUAAGCGGGACCUCUAACCCGAGGGCUCAACCCCCGGCCGGGUCCCGAACUGGCGCUCUCGAGUGCGGUAGGGGAGAGCGGAAUUCCCGGUGUAGCGGUGGAAUGCGCAGAUAUCGGGAAGAACACCGACGGCGAAGGCAGCUCUCUGGGCCGAAACUGACGCUGAGGCGCGAAAGCUGGGGGAGCGAACAGGAUUAGAUACCCUGGUAGUCCCAGCCGUAAACGAUGGGCGCUAGGUGUGGGGGAUGAGAUCCCCCGUGCCGCAG